UAUUGGGCAAUGGAGGAAACUCUGACCCAGCAGUGCCGCGUGAAUGAAGAAGGUCUUCGGAUUGUAAAGAUCUUUAGUCAGGGAAGAAAAAAAUGACGGUACCUGAAGAAUAAGCUCCGGCUAACUACGUGCCAGCAGCCGCGGUAAUACGUAGGGAGCAAGCGUUGUUCGGAAUGACUGGGCGUAAAGGGUGCGUAGGCGGUUGUACAAGUUAGAAGUGAAAUACCCAGGGCUUAACUCGGGUGCUGCUUCUAAAACUGUAUGACUUGAGUGCAGUAGAGGUUAGUGGAAUUCCUAGUGUAGCGGUGAAAUGCAUAGAUAUUAGGAGGAACACCAGUGGCGAAGGCGGCUUACUGGACUGUAACUGACACUGAGGCUCGAAAGCGUGGGGAGCAAACAGG
RNAcentral lists this ribosomal RNA (401 nucleotides) under uncultured bacterium. RNAcentral's name for it is "bacterial SSU rRNA". It matches the Rfam family "Bacterial small subunit ribosomal RNA", at positions 362 to 776 of the family's 1533-position model. The record is from RNAcentral.